CAGCCGCCGCGGGAAUACGGGGGGUGCAAGCGUUAUUCGGAAUUACUGGGCGUAAAGCGCACGCAGGCGGUUGCCCAAGUCAGAUGUGAAAGCCCCGGGCUUAACCUGGGAACUGCAUUUGAAACUGGGCGACUAGAGUAUGAAAGAGGAAAGCGGAAUUUCCAGUGUAGCAGUGAAAUGCGUAGAUAUUGGAAGGAACACCGAUGGCGAAGGCAGCUUUCUGGGUCGAUACUGACGCUCAUGUGCGAAAGCGUGGGGAGCAAACAGGAUUAGAUACCCCCGUAGUCCCUGUCUCUUAUAC
Molecule: ribosomal RNA, 301 nt
Filed under: uncultured bacterium
Lineage: Bacteria
Description: partial 16S ribosomal RNA
Rfam family: Bacterial small subunit ribosomal RNA
Source: RNAcentral